UACGGGGGGAGCAAGCGUUGUUCGGAUUUACUGGGCGUAAAGGGCGCGUAGGCGGCCACCGCAAGUCGGUUGUGAAAUCUCUGGGCUUAACCCAGAAAGGUCAACCGAUACUGCGGGGCUAGAGUGCAGGAAGGGGCAACUGGAAUUCUCGGUGUAGCGGUGAAAUGCGUAGAUAUCGAGAGGAACACCUGCGGCGAAGGCGGGUUGCUGGGCUGACACGUGACGCUGAAGCGCGAAAGCUAGGGGAGCGAACGGG
This 256-nucleotide ribosomal RNA is filed under the name uncultured bacterium. RNAcentral's name for it is "partial 16S ribosomal RNA". It matches the Rfam family "Bacterial small subunit ribosomal RNA", at positions 524 to 776 of the family's 1533-position model. The record is from RNAcentral.